GUUAAUGAAUUCUUGAAUUUAAAAACGUGCAAAGGAUAAUGGGAGAUAGAAUAAUUAAAUGAAGAUUAUUAAAUUAAUGACUUGUUUUAGAAAGGAAAAAAAUCUCCUAGAACCAAUAAAAAGAACAAAUGGGAUUUGAAAGAUUUUGCAAUGCAUUUAAGCAAAUAGCCAAAAAAUUGAAAACCAAAAGAAUGCAAUGGAAUUAGAGGAUAAAGAGACCUUGGAAUCUUUUCAAGGAUCUAGCAACUUUUCUAGCACAAGCUUCACAAUGCAUAUCAACCUUUAGCACUAUCUCUUCUUCCUUCUUCUCUUUCUCCUUGUUUUCUUCCACUUUCUUCUCCUAUAUGUUCAAAGAAAAUAAGAAACAAAAACAUAGCUAGAGUACCUACAUUGAUAUAUAAUGUUAUAAAUAUAAAUAGUGUUAAUAUAAAGAGGUUAAACUUAAUUACCUCACCCAUAUUAAUGCAGCUCUUUAAACAAUGCUGAUUUUCAAUGAAUUUGAAACUCUGCAAAUGAAAAACCUCUCUAUUUUAGUCUCUAUUGUUGUUUUACUGCUUUUGGUUGGGCAAAAUGAGAAGAAAGCACAUUUAAGU
Molecule: long non-coding RNA, 593 nt
Filed under: Nicotiana tabacum (common tobacco)
Lineage: Eukaryota; Viridiplantae; Streptophyta; Magnoliopsida; Solanales; Solanaceae
Description: long non-coding RNA (NTAB_LNC003204)
Source: RNAcentral